RNAcentral lists this ribosomal RNA (214 nucleotides) under Clostridioides difficile. Its description in RNAcentral is "partial 23S ribosomal RNA". It matches the Rfam family "Bacterial large subunit ribosomal RNA", at positions 1189 to 1410 of the family's 2925-position model. Lineage: Bacteria; Bacillati; Bacillota; Clostridia; Peptostreptococcales; Peptostreptococcaceae. The record is from RNAcentral.
UACUACCGAAGCUACGGCAUCAGUAAUGAUGGGUAGGGGAGCUUCCCAUACGGGUUGAAGCAUGACCGUAAGGACAUGUGGACAGUCUGGGAGUGAGAAUGUUGGCAUGAGUAGCGAGAUGUGGGUGGGAAUCCCACAGGCCGUAAACCCAAGGUUUCCAGGGGAAGGUUCGUCCGCCCUGGGUUAGUCGGGACCUAAGCUGAGGCCGAAAGGC